GUCUUUGUGAUUUUUAUCUAAAGUCUAACCUGCCCAAUGAUGUUAAUUUAAUGGCCGCGGUAUCUUGACUGUGCGAAGGUAGCAUAAUAAUUAGUCUUUUAAUUGAAGGCUGGAAUGAAAGGUUGAACAAGAAAUUAGCUGUCUCUGAGUUAAAUUUUGAAUUUAACAUUUAAGUGAAAAGGCUUAAAUAUUUUAAGGGGACGAUAAGACCCUAUAAAUCUUUAUAUUUUGGUUUAUGAAAUAAAAAAAUGGAAUAACUUUUAUCUAAUAAAUUAAAAUAUUUUGUUGGGGCGACAGAAGCAUAAAUUGUUAACUGCUUUGUAAUGAUAGUUAGACGAUAUCUAAUUAGUGAUCCUUUAAUAAAGAGUAUUAGAUGAAGUUACUUUAGGGAUAACAGCGUAAUUUUUCCUGAGAGUUCUUAUCGAAGGAAAAGGUUGCGACCUCGAUGUUGAAUUAAAGAUCCUUUGUGGUGCAGAAGUUACAAGAGGAGGUCUGUUCGACCUUUAAAUCUUUACAUGAUUUGAGUUCAGACCGGCGUAAG
RNAcentral lists this ribosomal RNA (541 nucleotides) under Petrarctus holthuisi. RNAcentral describes it as "partial 16S ribosomal RNA". It matches the Rfam family "Bacterial large subunit ribosomal RNA", at positions 1829 to 2625 of the family's 2925-position model. Lineage: Eukaryota; Metazoa; Arthropoda; Malacostraca; Decapoda; Scyllaridae. The record is from RNAcentral.